CAGCCGCCGCGGUAAUACGAAGGGGGCUAGCGUUGUUCGGAAUCACUGGGCGUAAAGGGCGCGUAGGCGGCCGAUCAAGUCGGGGGUGAAAGCCUGUGGCUCAACCACAGAAUGGCCUUCGAUACUGUUCGGCUCGAGACCGGAAGAGGUGAGUGGAACUGCGAGUGUAGAGGUGAAAUUCGUAGAUAUUCGCAAGAACACCAGUGGCGAAGGCGGCUCACUGGUCCGGUUCUGACGCUGAGGCGCGAAAGCGUGGGGAGCAAACAGGAUUAGAUACCCUGGUAGUCCACGCCGUAAACGAUGGAUGCUAGCCGUUAGCGAGCUUGCUCGUCAGUGGCGCAGCUAACGCUUUAAGCAUCCCGCCUGGGGAGUACGGUCGCAAGAUUAAAACUCAAAGGAAUUGACGG
RNAcentral lists this ribosomal RNA (407 nucleotides) under uncultured soil bacterium. RNAcentral describes it as "bacterial SSU rRNA". It matches the Rfam family "Bacterial small subunit ribosomal RNA", at positions 509 to 916 of the family's 1533-position model. The record is from RNAcentral.